This 222-nucleotide unclassified non-coding RNA is filed under the name plant metagenome. RNAcentral describes it as "partial contains small subunit ribosomal RNA, internal transcribed spacer 1, and 5.8S ribosomal RNA". The record is from RNAcentral.
UUUCCGUAGGUGAACCUGCGGAAGGAUCACUAAAGAGAACUUGCCCUUCGGGGUAGCUCUCCCUCCCUUUGUUUAUUAUACUUUGUCGCUUUGGCGCUCCUGCCUCUUGGCUGCCGGCGUAAGCUGGCUCGCGCCCGCCAGAGACCCCUAAACUCUCAAUAUUUCCGUCUGUGUAAAAUAUAUAUUAAGUUAAAACUUUCAACAACGGAUCUCUUGGCUUUG